CUGGCUCAGGACGAACGCUGGCGGCGUGCCUAACACAUGCAAGUCGAACGGACUGAUUCACUUCGGUGAUGAAAGUUAGUGGCGGACGGGUGAGUAACGCGUGAGUAACCUGCCUUACAGCGUGGGAUACCGUUUCGAAAGGAACGCUAAUACCGUAUAACGUACAGAUAUCGCAUGGUGACUGUACCAAAGGAGCAAUCCGCUGUAAGAUGGACUCGCGUCCGAUUAGAUAGUUGGCGGGGUAACGGCCCACCAAGUCGACGAUCGGUAGCCGGACUGAGAGGUUGAUCGGCCACAUUGGGACUGAGACACGGCCCAGACUCCUACGGGAGGCAGCAGUGAGGGAUAUUGCACAAUGGGCGCAAGCCUGAUUGCAGCAACGCCGCGUGAGGGAAGACGGUUUUCGGAUUGUAAACCGCUGUCAAGUGGGACGAAACAAAUGACGGUACCGCUGAAGGAAGUCACGGCUAACUACGUGCCAGCAGCCGC
Molecule: ribosomal RNA, 489 nt
Filed under: uncultured bacterium
Lineage: Bacteria
Description: bacterial SSU rRNA
Rfam family: Bacterial small subunit ribosomal RNA
Source: RNAcentral